CCUACGGGAGGCAGCAGUGAGGAAUCUUGGACAAUGGACGAGAGUCUGAACCAGCCACGCAGCGUGAAGGAUGACUGCCCUAUGGGUUGUAAACUUCUUUUAUAUGGGAAUAAAAUGUUCCACGUGUGGGAUUUUGUAUGUACGAUAUGCAUAAGGAUCGGCUAACUUCGUUACAGCAUCCGCGGUAAUCCGGUGGAUCCGAGCGUUAUCCGGAUUUAUUGGGUUUAACGGGAGCGUAGGUGGAUUGUUAAGUCAGUUGUGAAAGUUUGCGGCUCAACCGUACAAUUGCAGUUGAAACUGGCAGUCUUGAGUACAGUAGAGGUGAGCGGAAUUCGUGGUGUAGCGGUGAAAUGCGUAGAUAUCACGAAGAACUCCGAUUGCGAAGGCAGCUCACUGGACUGCAACUGACACUGAGGCUCGAAAGCGUGGGUAUCAAACAGGAUUAGAUACCCGAGUAGUC
RNAcentral lists this ribosomal RNA (460 nucleotides) under uncultured bacterium. RNAcentral's name for it is "partial 16S ribosomal RNA". It matches the Rfam family "Bacterial small subunit ribosomal RNA", at positions 338 to 795 of the family's 1533-position model. The record is from RNAcentral.